CUAGAUGAUCAAAAGGCAAGCAUUUUAUGGAAGGGAGUGGUAGAAUAUUUCAAUUCAGUGGUGAGAGUACAAUUGGAAGGCAGAGCUGCUGUUUAAGAAGAAUAAUGUAUUGGAAAUGUUAACGAUACUGCAUGGAUGAAACAAAAGAUCGCGUUUAGAAGCAGAUUUGUAGGAGAUGACACUUAUUUUGGGAACUGUUCUGAUGAAAGGAAGUAUCUUGAAAUCUACAGAAGGAAAUAUCUAAAGCUUCAACUUAUGCUAAGCUGCUACAAAACUCCUUGGCCUUCCUGCAUGAAAAUUUAUCAGACUCGUACAAUCCCAACCAAAUCUAUCAGAACCCAUAUUACAACUCAUUCUGAGACCUAUUGAUGUCCUCUUCACCAUGAAUCACCUUCAGUCAAGGACCAAAGUACAGAGUGGACUCCUGGAUCCAUCCUAUCUCUGGGCCCUAAGACUUUUUCUGAAAGCUGAGGUAUCAAAAAGUGCUAAUGUGUUAUGGCGAAGUGAAGUAAAAAUUUUGUACAGGUCUUGACUGAAAGUUUCUCCUUUUUCUCCUUACCAAUAUUUUUCCAAUGGUGAAUCAGA
Molecule: long non-coding RNA, 585 nt
Filed under: Homo sapiens (human)
Lineage: Eukaryota; Metazoa; Chordata; Mammalia; Primates; Hominidae
Description: HSALNT0158688
Source: RNAcentral